GCUCCUGUGGCCUAAUGGAUAAGGCGUUGGAUUCCGAAUCCAAAGACUGUGGGUUCGAGUCCCACCAGGAGCG
This 73-nucleotide transfer RNA is filed under the name Nephila pilipes (giant wood spider). It matches the Rfam family "tRNA". Rfam says of the family: Transfer RNA (tRNA) molecules are approximately 80 nucleotides in length. Their secondary structure includes four short double-helical elements and three loops (D, anti-codon, and T loops). Lineage: Eukaryota; Metazoa; Arthropoda; Arachnida; Araneae; Nephilidae. The record is from Rfam by way of RNAcentral.